This 227-nucleotide long non-coding RNA is filed under the name Capsicum annuum. Its description in RNAcentral is "long non-coding RNA (CANN_LNC019483)". Lineage: Eukaryota; Viridiplantae; Streptophyta; Magnoliopsida; Solanales; Solanaceae. The record is from RNAcentral.
GGGGCACUGGUAGCCUAACUCUUGGGAUGAGCAUCUCGACCCCUCUAUGUAGCAUACGGACAAUCUCUAAGUCGGUGGUCCAACUUGCCACAACCAAAGCAACCCCUCUAAUUAACAAAACACUCGGCAAAAUAAUCUCUACCAUAUUUGGAACAUGAAGGAAGAAGAGGUCUGUUACUUACACUUUCCUGAGACCUGGAUAGGAUAGGCCUGUUCCCCUACUCCUG